Molecule: ribosomal RNA, 497 nt
Filed under: uncultured bacterium
Lineage: Bacteria
Description: partial 16S ribosomal RNA
Rfam family: Bacterial small subunit ribosomal RNA
Source: RNAcentral
GACGAACGCUGGCGGCGUGCCUAAUACAUGCAAGUUGAGCGCUGAAGGUUGGUAUUUGUACCAACUGGAUGAGCAGCGAACGGGUGAGUAACGCGUGGGGAAUCUGCCUUUGAGCGGGGGACAACAUUUGGAAACGAAUGCUAAUACCGCAUAAAAACUUUAAACACAAGUUUUAAGUUUGAAAGAUGCAAUUGCAUCACUCAAAGAUGAUCCCGCGUUGUAUUAGCUAGUUGGUGAGGUAAAGGCUCACCAAGGCGAUGAUACAUAGCCGACCUGAGAGGGUGAUCGGCCACAUUGGGACUGAGACACGGCCCAAACUCCUACGGGAGGCAGCAGUAGGGAAUCUUCGGCAAUGGACGAAAGUCUGACCGAGCAACGCCGCGUGAGUGAAGAAGGGUUUCGGAUCGUAAAACUCUGUUGGUAGAGAAGAACGUUGGUGAGAGUGGAAAGCUCAUCAAGUGACGGUAACUACCCAGAAAGGGACGGCUAACUACGUG